Lathyrus oleraceus (garden pea) is the source of this 698-nucleotide long non-coding RNA. RefSeq lists it as uncharacterized. NCBI's taxonomy places the organism in Eukaryota, Viridiplantae, Streptophyta, Magnoliopsida, Fabales, Fabaceae. The transcript has 2 exons. The record is from RefSeq and is a predicted model, not a curated record.
UUGUAAUGAUAAUCUCUGUUUGUAUCUAAUUUUUUUUGUUUAAUAUUCAAUGUUACCAUAAAUUAAUUCAUUUUAAUUAUUAUAUAUAGUUUAUUUUUUGUUCUAUUGAAUUUGUAGUUGUUGAUUAUUUGACAAUUUCUAAUGCUGCAGCGGAUCUGAAAUUCGUGGGAAAAACAAAGUCAUUAAGAUGGUGGAAACUGGAAACAGGAAACAAAGUUUUUGCGAAUGAAUUAAAUGAUUUUAUGUGUAGGAACUGUGGUAGUUGGGAUUUUUGAUUUCUGAGUUUUAGGCAUUUUGUUUUAGCAUUGCUUAUUUGAUUGAUCCAUGGCUCAAUACAUAUGGGUUUAGUGGAUGCAUUUGUCAAUGCUUAUAUAAAUCAUUAGGAGUUUUUAGUUCCUUAGAACUCUUGUAUAGUUCUUGGGGUUCGGGAACUCCUACAUUUUCUUCCCUUGUAUUUUGGAUUAAUUCAACCUAUUAAACGUGCUUAAUUGAACAAGUUUAUGGUUUUUCAUUUUAUAAGUCUUUGUAAGAUUGUGUUUUUGUAGGUAGAAACGAUUUAGCAUUGUUUACUUGAUUGAUCUCUGGCUCAAUACAUGGGUUUAGUGGAUGCCCUUGUCAAUGCUUAUAUAAAUUAUGAGGAGUUUUUAGUUCCUUAGGACUUUUAUAUAGUUCUUGGGGUUCGGGAACUCCUACAAGUU